Molecule: long non-coding RNA, 1191 nt
Filed under: Anas platyrhynchos platyrhynchos (common mallard)
Lineage: Eukaryota; Metazoa; Chordata; Aves; Anseriformes; Anatidae
Description: lncRNA (ENSAPLG00000021560.1)
Source: RNAcentral
AACCCUUAGAAAAAGAAAAAAAAAAAGCCACUCAGAUUCUAAUGACAGGACAGUAUUUUGUUUUACAUAAAUAUAAGCUGGAUGCCAGUGGUUGGGCACUGGAACAGGCUCCCCAGGGAAGUGGUCACAGCAGCAAGCCUGCUGGAGUUCAAGAGACAUUUUGAUAAUGCUCUCAGACACAUGGUUUCAUUUUUGGGUGGUUCUCUGUGGAGUCAGAAGUUGGACUUCAUGAUGGAGGUUGGAACUAAAUGAUCUUUAAAGUCCCUUUCCCCCCCCCCCAACCAAACCAUUCUUUUAUUUUAAGAUCCUUCUUCGAUCCCUUCCAACUCAGGAUAUUCUAUGAUUCUAGGAUAAUAUAACAAUAAAAGCAAAAAGUUGCAUUAUAGAAAUAAAUGUUAUUCAAUAAAGCAUUCUCAAUUUAAUUGACACCAGACCUACCAAAUCACCGAGCGUUCAUCCCUUUCCUCCUCUCCCCUUGUAUUGCAGCCUGUGAAACAAGCUAGUGCUUAAGUGACAGCUGCUUUAUAACCAGAUGAUAUACAUGUAUUCCAGGAGACUUUGGUAUAUCGAAUCCUGUUUCAAGAAACAAAUUCCCAGUGAACCCGUGCCUGUGACAUCUAGUUUUAGAACUUGGCUUGUGUGUGUGUAUUCACUAUUACUUCAAGAGCUUUUAGAACAUUCUAACAUUUGAUUUUGAUCACAGGUACUUUUGCCUGGAAGAAAGCCUGUACUGAAAUAGGAGGACCCUUGAAGGAUGUUAACUAACAGAAAUGAAUGCUUUAAUAAGGAAGGAGGGUUUCAUUCUUCAAGAUCCCUAUUCAGAGUGGCAAGUCCAAGAACGUUAGAUUAUGUCACAAAGAAAGUUUUGGAAGAUACAAACUUGUCAGUACUUUCCUUUUUUCCAAUGUAAAAUAACUGCCCAGGAGCACCAGGAAUUUAAACACAACAAGUAUAUACUCCCCAAUGCAGCAAAUGGUCCUUAUUCAUACCCCUCCAGCUCUGUAGUAAUGAUGUCACUGAAUCAAUGUUCAAGAUUUGUUCUGAACAUGUCUUUGUCGGGGUAAUUAGCCUCCUUAUCAUCCACUCUUUGUAUUUUAAAUGGUUGUACUAAAUGGCUUUUGGGUAAUGUGGUUUCUGAUGCACCAUCAAGCGAAGAAUAAAGAUACAUUGCCUCAGUGAGAGUGUUUGACA